CGGUCCUGAGUAAAGUAGGCGCACGGGUGAGUAACGCGUAGAUAACCUGUCUUCAUGUCUGGAAUAAUACGCCAAAGGGGUACUAAUACCGGAUAUCUUGCUUUUCAUAAGUUAUGCAAGCAAAGGUGGCCUCUGCAUAUGCUACUGCAUGAAGAGGGGUCUGCGUACCAUUAGCUAGUAGGUGGGGUAAUGGCCUACCUAGGCGACGAUGGUUAGCGGGUCUGAGAGGAUGAUCCGCCACACUGGCACUGGAACACGGGCCAGACUCCUACGGGAGGCAGCAGUGAGGAAUAUUGCGCAAUGGGGGAAACCCUGACGCAGCGACGCCGCGUGAAGUGAGGAAGGCCUUCGGGUCGUAAAGCUCUGUCAAGAGGAAAGAAGUGUACAAUGGCUAAUACCUGUUGUAUUUGACGGUACCUCUAAAGGAAGCACCGGCUAACUCCGUGCCAGCAGCCGC
Molecule: ribosomal RNA, 457 nt
Filed under: uncultured bacterium
Lineage: Bacteria
Description: bacterial SSU rRNA
Rfam family: Bacterial small subunit ribosomal RNA
Source: RNAcentral